This 497-nucleotide ribosomal RNA is filed under the name uncultured bacterium. RNAcentral's name for it is "partial 16S ribosomal RNA". It matches the Rfam family "Bacterial small subunit ribosomal RNA", at positions 28 to 507 of the family's 1533-position model. The record is from RNAcentral.
GAUGAACGCUGGCGGCGUGCCUAAUACAUGCAAGUCGAGCGAACAGACGAGGAGCUUGCUCCUCUGACGUUAGCGGCGGACGGGUGAGUAACACGUGGAUAACCUACCUAUAAGACUGGGAUAACUUCGGGAAACCGGAGCUAAUACCGGAUAAUAUAUUGAACCGCAUGGUUCAAUAGUGAAAGACGGUUUUGCUGUCACUUAUAGAUGGAUCCGCGCCGCAUUAGCUAGUUGGUAAGGUAACGGCUUACCAAGGCGACGAUGCGUAGCCGACCUGAGAGGGUGAUCGGCCACACUGGAACUGAGACACGGUCCAGACUCCUACGGGAGGCAGCAGUAGGGAAGCUGCCACAAUGGGCGAAAGCCUGACGGAGCAACGCCGCGUGAGUGAUGAAGGUCUUCGGAUCGUAAAACUCUGUUAUUAGGGAAGAACAAAUGUGUAAGUAACUAUGCACGUCUUGACGGUACCUAAUCAGAAAGCCACGGCUAACUACGUG